RNAcentral lists this ribosomal RNA (465 nucleotides) under Vreelandella stevensii. RNAcentral's name for it is "partial 16S ribosomal RNA". It matches the Rfam family "Bacterial small subunit ribosomal RNA", at positions 338 to 795 of the family's 1533-position model. The record is from RNAcentral. Lineage: Bacteria; Pseudomonadati; Pseudomonadota; Gammaproteobacteria; Oceanospirillales; Halomonadaceae.
CCUACGGGGGGCAGCAGUGGGGAAUAUUGGACAAUGGGCGAAAGCCUGAUCCAGCCAUGCCGCGUGUGUGAGGAAGGCCUUCGGGUUGUAAAGCACUUUCAGUGGGGAAGAAAGCCUUGGGGCUAAUACCCUCGAGGAAGGACAUCACCCACAGAAGAAGCACCGGCUAACUCCGUGCCAGCAGCCGCGGUAAUACGGAGGGUGCGAGCGUUAAUCGGAAUUACUGGGCGUAAAGCGCGCGUAGGCGGUCUGAUAAGCCGGUUGUGAAAGCCCCGGGCUCAACCUGGGAACGGCAUCCGGAACUGUCAGGCUAGAGUGCAGGAGAGGAAGGUAGAAUUCCCGGUGUAGCGGUGAAAUGCGUAGAGAUCGGGAGGAAUACCAGUGGCGAAGGCGGCCUUCUGGACUGACACUGACGCUGAGGUGCGAAAGCGUGGGUAGCAAACAGGAUUAGAUACCCUUGUAGUC